UACAGAGGGUGCGAGCGUUGUUCGGAAUUAUUGGGCGUAAAGCGCGCGUAGGUGGCUUCGUAAGUCCGUUGUGAAAGUCAAAGGCUCAACCUUUGAAAGCCGAUGGAUACUGCGGAGCUAGAGUACGGAAGAGGCGAGUGGAAUUCCUGGUGUAGCGGUGGAAUGCGCAGAUAUCAGGAGGAACACCAAUAGCGAAGGCAGCUCGCUGGGACGUUACUGACACUGAGGCGCGAAAGCGUGGGGAGCGAACAGG
This 253-nucleotide ribosomal RNA is filed under the name uncultured bacterium. RNAcentral describes it as "partial 16S ribosomal RNA". It matches the Rfam family "Bacterial small subunit ribosomal RNA", at positions 524 to 776 of the family's 1533-position model. The record is from RNAcentral.